CAGUAGCCACGGGAAUACGAAGGGUGCAAGCGUUACUCGGAAUUACUGGGCGUAAAGCGUGCGUAGGUGGUGGUUUAAGUCCGUUGUGAAAGCCCUGGGCUCAACCUGGGAAUUGCAGUGGAUACUGGGUCACUAGAGUGUGGUAGAGGAUAGUGGAAUUUCCGGUGUAGCAGUGAAAUGCGUAGAGAUCGGAAGGAACAUCUGUGGCGAAGGCGACUAUCUGGGCCAACACUGACACUGAGGCACGAAAGCGUGGGGAGCAAACAGGAUUAGAUACCCCCGUAGUCCCUGUCUCUUAUAA
RNAcentral lists this ribosomal RNA (301 nucleotides) under uncultured bacterium. RNAcentral describes it as "partial 16S ribosomal RNA". It matches the Rfam family "Bacterial small subunit ribosomal RNA", at positions 509 to 809 of the family's 1533-position model. The record is from RNAcentral.